GACGAACGCUGGCGGCGUGCUUAACACAUGCAAGUCGAACGGAAAGGCCCUGCUUUUGUGGGGUGCUCGAGUGGCGAACGGGUGAGUAACACGUGAGUAACCUGCCCUUGACUUUGGGAUAACUUCAGGAAACUGGGGCUAAUACCGGAUAGGAGCUCCUGCUGCAUGGGGGGGGUUGGAAAGUUUCGGCGGUUGGGGAUGGACUCGCGGCUUAUCAGCUUGUUGGUGGGGUAGUGGCUUACCAAGGCUUUGACGGGUAGCCGGCCUGAGAGGGUGACCGGCCACAUUGGGACUGAGGUACGGCCCAGACUCCUACGGGAGGCAGAAGUGGGGAAUAUUGCACAAUGGGCGGAAGCCUGAUGCAGCAACGCCGCGUGCGGGAUGACGGCCUUCGGGUUGUAAACCGCUUUCGCCUGUGACGAAGCGUGAGUGACGGUAAUGGGUAAAGAAGCACCGGCUAACUACGUG
This 468-nucleotide ribosomal RNA is filed under the name uncultured bacterium. RNAcentral describes it as "partial 16S ribosomal RNA". It matches the Rfam family "Bacterial small subunit ribosomal RNA", at positions 28 to 507 of the family's 1533-position model. The record is from RNAcentral.